Oncorhynchus kisutch (coho salmon) is the source of this 1512-nucleotide long non-coding RNA. The record is from Ensembl. Lineage: Eukaryota; Metazoa; Chordata; Actinopteri; Salmoniformes; Salmonidae.
AAUGACUGGACAGACAAGAAUAAUGGGAGCAUACACACGACAGCACAGAACUAUAUGUACGUGAAUUUUCUCUCGGAACCAAAGAGCCAGUUACCGAUUGUACACACACGGAAUUCAUUAUGAUCAGACACACAGGCAAGAUGGCGGAGGGAGAUUCAUGGGGUAAGAAUCCACCUGUGUGUGGAAUGGCGUAUUAUUCAAGUUAUACCUCAUCGUUGACAAUUACACAUAUCAGAGAGGAUAGUUUAAGUUUGUAAAAAAAUGUGUGUAUUGUUGGUCUUAGAUGCUGACACUUUUGAUCCGGAUGAGCUUGUUAUCGGGACCAAGAAGGCUGUUGUAGCGGAUAAAUGGGAAGGCGAGGACGAGGAUGACGAUAUCAAGGACAACUGGGAUGAUGACGAGGAGGAAUUGAAAAAAACAGAAGAGAAAAAAGCAGGUAUUUUUUUAAACCACGUGAAUUGAACCAGUGAGAUCUGACUAUAUUAAUUGAAUACAAGCUCAAUCGUUUUUUUUUUCUUCUCUCGUCUUUGUAGCAGAGACAAAACUUUCUGAAAAGAAGAAAUUAGCUGAAAAAAUCAAGGAAAAGGAAAGUUUACAAAUGAAAAAACAAGAAGAGCUGAGAAAGCGGGUAGGUGUUUAAAAAAAAAAGUUGGUGUUUUGCAUACAGGGAUAUUUUUUUCUUGUCGUUGCUAUGGAGUACAUUCGUUAUGGCAACCCAGCUACUGCUAGUUUGCUUAUCAAAAUUCAGCAGAAACUUGACCUUUUUUGCUUUAAGCCAAUUUCCCUGAUUUAUUUGAGUUGUAUUUAUCAAAUUUUAAAGUUUAAUUUUAAAUUACUAGAAGAGACUUUUUAAAUUUUGGUUUGGGCCCAUAUUAGGAAACAAACUGUAUUUCAUCUGGUUUUCCGGACCCAGAUUAAAUAAGCCUCUAAAAUCAGCCUUAAGGGGUUUCACACACUGUCCAUGAAUAACAAAGUCAUUGGCUGCUGGAUCUGAAAGUAUAUUUCUUUGUGUUUGUUUGUUUAGUUAGAGGAAUCACAGGAAACAGAACUCUCACCGGAGGAUGAGCUAGCAGAGAAACUCAGAGUGAAGAAACUACAGGAGGACGCUGAUCUUCUAUUGGCUCAGGAGGCUUUCGGUAAGAGACCUGUAUUACAGGAGGACGCUGAUCUUCUAUUGGCUCAGGAGAACGCUACCUGCGAAGUUUGGUGGAGGAGGAAUAAUGGUCUGAGGAUGUUUUUCAUGGUUCGGGCCCCUUAGUUCCAGUGAAGGGAAAUCUCAACACUACAGCAUACAAUGACUUUCUAGACGAUUCUGUACUUUCAAAUUUGGGGAAGGCUCUUUCAGCAUGAAUACCCCCGUGCACAAAGCGAGGUCCAUGCAGAAAUGGUUAGUCGAUCAGUGUGUUUAGAACUUGACUGCACAGAGACCUGACCUCAAUCCCAUCGAAAGCCUUCGGGAUGAAUUGGAAUGCUGACUGCGGGCCUAAUCGCCCAACAUCAGUGCCCAACCUC